AUUGAACGCUGGCGGCAUGCCUAACACAUGCAAGUCGAACGGAGGUAGGGGCAACUCUACUUCAGUGGCGGACGGGUGAGGAAUGCGUCGGAAUCUACCCUAUGGUGGGGGAUAACGCAGGGAAACUUGUGCUAAUACCGCAUAAUGUCGAGAGACCAAAAGCAGGGGACCGCAAGGCCUUGCGCGAUAGGAUGAGUCGACGCCCGAUUAGCUAGUUGGUAGGGUAAAGGCCUACCAAGGCGACGAUCGGUAGCUGGUCUGAGAGGAUGAUCAGCCACACUGGGACUGAGACACGGCCCAGACUCCUACGGGAGGCAGCAGUGGGGAAUAUUGGACAAUGGGCGCAGGCCUGAUCCAGCAAUGCCGCGUGUGUGAAGAAGGCCUGCGGGUUGUAAAGCACUUUUGUUCGGGAAGAAAUCAUGCUGGUUAAUACCUGGUAUGGAUGACGGUACCGAAAGAAUAAGCACCGGCUAACUUCGUGCCAGCAGCC
Molecule: ribosomal RNA, 490 nt
Filed under: uncultured bacterium
Lineage: Bacteria
Description: bacterial SSU rRNA
Rfam family: Bacterial small subunit ribosomal RNA
Source: RNAcentral